RNAcentral lists this ribosomal RNA (200 nucleotides) under uncultured bacterium. RNAcentral describes it as "partial 16S ribosomal RNA". It matches the Rfam family "Bacterial small subunit ribosomal RNA", at positions 30 to 233 of the family's 1533-position model. The record is from RNAcentral.
AUUGAACGCUGGCGGCAGGCCUAACACAUGCAAGUCGAGCGCGAAAGUUCUUCGGAAUGAGUAAAGCGGCGGACGGGUGAGUAAUACAUGGGAAUCUGCCUGGUAGUGGGGGACAACGUUUCGAAAGGAACGCUAAUACCGGCAUACGCCCUACGGGGAAAGGGGGGGAUCUUCGGACCUCUCGCUAUCAGAUGAGCCCA